This 515-nucleotide ribosomal RNA is filed under the name uncultured bacterium. RNAcentral's name for it is "bacterial SSU rRNA". It matches the Rfam family "Bacterial small subunit ribosomal RNA", at positions 9 to 526 of the family's 1533-position model. The record is from RNAcentral.
GAGUUUGAUCCUGGCUCAGGAUGAACGCUGGCGGCGUGCUUAACACAUGCAAGUCGAACGAAGCACCUUUUAAGAUUCUUCGGAUGAUUGAUUGGUGACUGAGUGGCGGACGGGUGAGUAACGCGUGGGUAACCUGCCCUGUACAGGGGGAUAACAGUUGGAAACGGCUGCUAAUACCGCAUAAGCGCACGAGAGGGCAUCCUCUUGUGUGAAAAACUCCGGUGGUACAGGAUGGGCCCGCGUCUGAUUAGCUGGUUGGCAGGGUAACGGCCUACCAAGGCAACGAUCAGUAGCCGGUCUGAGAGGAUGAACGGCCACAUUGGAACUGAGACACGGCCCAGACUCCUACGGGAGGCAGCAGUGGGGGAUAUUGCACAAUGGGGGAAACCCUGAUGCAGCGACGCCGCGUGAAGGAAGAAGUAUCUCGGUAUGUAAACUUCUAUCAGCAGGGAAGAUAGUGACGGUACCUGACUAAGAAGCCCCGGCUAACUACGUGCCAGCCGCCGCGGUAAUUC